GACGAGCGCUGGCGGCGUGCUUAACACAUGCAAGUCGAACGCUGAAGCCCUUUCGGGGGUGGAUGAGUGGCGAACGGGUGAGUAACACGUGGGUAAUCUGCCCUGCACUCUGGGAUAAGCCUUGGAAACGGGGUCUAAUACCGGAUAGGACACAUCGCCGCAUGGUGUGUGUGUGGAAAGUUCCGGCGGUGCAGGUUGAGCCCGCGGCCUAUCAGCUUGUUGGUGGGGUGAUGGCCUACCAAGGCGACGACGGGUAGCCGGCCUGAGAGGGUGACCGGCCACACUGGGACUGAGACACGGCCCCGACUCCUACGGGAGGCAGCAGUGGGGAAUCUUGCGCAAUGGGCGAAAGCCUGACGUAGCAACGCCGCGUGGGGGAUGACGGCCUUCGGGUUGUAAACCUCUUUCGACCGGGACGAAGGGUGACUGACGGUACCGGUAGAAGAAGCACCGGCUAACUACGUGCCAGCAGCCGCCGCCG
This 481-nucleotide ribosomal RNA is filed under the name uncultured bacterium. RNAcentral's name for it is "partial 16S ribosomal RNA". It matches the Rfam family "Bacterial small subunit ribosomal RNA", at positions 28 to 523 of the family's 1533-position model. The record is from RNAcentral.